GGAGAGGUGGCCGAGUGGUCGAAGGCGGGCGACUCGAAAUCGUCUAGGCGGUGAUGAGCCGUCUCGUGGGUUCAAAUCCCACUCUCUCCGCCA
This 93-nucleotide transfer RNA is filed under the name Thermovirga lienii. RNAcentral describes it as "tRNA-Ser". It matches the Rfam family "tRNA". Rfam says of the family: Transfer RNA (tRNA) molecules are approximately 80 nucleotides in length. Their secondary structure includes four short double-helical elements and three loops (D, anti-codon, and T loops). Further hydrogen bonds mediate the characteristic L-shaped molecular structure. tRNAs have two regions of fundamental functional importance: the anti-codon, which is responsible for specific mRNA codon recognition, and the 3' end, to which the tRNAs corresponding amino acid is attached (by aminoacyl-tRNA synthetases). tRNAs cope with the degeneracy of the genetic code in two manners: having more than one tRNA (with a specific anti-codon) for a particular amino acid; and 'wobble' base-pairing, i.e. permitting non-standard base-pairing at the 3rd anti-codon position. RNAcentral also lists the same sequence under 7 other names. Lineage: Bacteria; Thermotogati; Synergistota; Synergistia; Synergistales; Thermovirgaceae. The record is from RNAcentral.